Molecule: ribosomal RNA, 464 nt
Filed under: uncultured Glomus
Lineage: Eukaryota; Fungi; Glomeromycota; Glomeromycetes; Glomerales; Glomeraceae
Description: SSU rRNA
Rfam family: Eukaryotic small subunit ribosomal RNA
Source: RNAcentral
AACAGCCGCGGUAAUUCCAGCUCCAAUAGCGUAUAUUAAAGUUGUUGCAGUUAAAAGCCCGUAGUUGAAUUUCGGGGUUAGUAGGUUGGUCAUGCCUCCGGUAUGUACUGGUCUCACUGAUUCCUCCUUCCUUAUGAGCCGUAAUGCCAUUAAUUUGGUGUUGCGGGGAAUUUGGACUGUUACUUUGAAAAAUUAGAGUGUUUAAAGCAAGCUAACGCUUGAAUACAUUAGCAUGGAAUAAUGAAAUAGGACGUUCGAUCUUAUUUGUUGGUUUCUAGGAUUGACGUAAUGAUUAAUAGGGAUAGUUGGGGCAUUAGUAUUCAAUUGUCAGAGGUGAAAUUCUUGGAUUUAUUGAAGACUAACUACUGCGAAAGCAUUUGCCAAGGAUGUUUCAUUAAUCAAGAACGAAAGUUAGGGAGUACGAAGACGAUACAGAUACCGUCGUAGUCUUAACCAUAAACUAU